This 383-nucleotide unclassified non-coding RNA is filed under the name uncultured bacterium. RNAcentral's name for it is "contains 16S-23S intergenic spacer region". The record is from RNAcentral.
UCCUGGUUUCCCAGGCAGUCCCAUUAGAGUGCCUUCUUACGAAGUAGCAACUAAUGGCAAGGGUUGCGCUCGUUAUAGGACUUAACCCAACAUCUCACGACACGAGCUGACGACAGCCAUGCAACACCUGUGAAAUUGUCUUAGGUUUCCCUAAGAAAGCACUGUUUCCAGUGCGGUCAAAAACAUGUCAAGCCUAGGUAAGGUUCCUCGCGUAGUGUCGAAUUAAACCACAUGUUCCACCGCUUGUGCGGACCCCCGUCAAUUCCUUUGAGUUUUAAUCUUGCGACCGUAAUCCCCAGGCGGAUCACUUAACGCGUUAGCUACGACACUGAUUUUGCAAGCAAAAUCAACGCCUAGUGAUCAUCGUUUACGGCGUGGACUAC